CAGUAGCCGCGGUAAUACGAAGGGGGCUAGCGUUGCUCGGAAUUACUGGGCGUAAAGGGAGCGUAGGCGGACAUUUAAGUCAGGGGUGAAAUCCCAGAGCUCAACUCCGGAACUGCCUUUGAUACUGGGUGUCUUGAGUGUGAUAGAGGUAUGUGGAACUCCGAGUGUAGAGGUGAAAUUCGUAGAUAUUCGGAAGAACACCAGUGGCGAAGGCGACAUACUGGAUCAUUACUGACGCUGAGGCUCGAAAGCGUGGGGAGCAAACAGGAUUAGAUACCCCCGUAGUCCCUGUCUCUUAUAC
Molecule: ribosomal RNA, 301 nt
Filed under: uncultured bacterium
Lineage: Bacteria
Description: partial 16S ribosomal RNA
Rfam family: Bacterial small subunit ribosomal RNA
Source: RNAcentral